RNAcentral lists this ribosomal RNA (2751 nucleotides) under Triticum aestivum (bread wheat). Its description in RNAcentral is "partial small subunit ribosomal RNA". The record is from RNAcentral. Lineage: Eukaryota; Viridiplantae; Streptophyta; Magnoliopsida; Poales; Poaceae.
AUGGCGGAGGCUGCUCUUCUUCUUGUCACGACAAAGAUUGGAAAAGCUGUGGCAACAGAAACACUGCACUAUGCUAGACCAUGGCUAACAAAAAAAGCUGGGUCUAUUGCAGAGCUCCCAACCAACAUGACACUGAUAAAGAAUGACCUCGAGGUUAUACAAGCAUUUAUCAAGGAUACUGGCGGCAAGGGUUUGAUAGAUGGAGUCACCGAAACAUGGAUAGGGCAAGUCCGAAGAUUGGCGUAUGAUAUGGAAGACAUUGUGGAUCAAUAUAUGUAUGUUGUUGGUAAACACCAUCAGAAAGGAUCAAAGUGGAGUUAUGUGAAGAAAAUUGUGAAGAAACCCCAGUACCUGUUUACACUAGAUGAAAUUGCUACUGCCCUUGAGAGAAUAAACCAAGCGCUUAUACGUCUUAAACAAAACAAAGACUGGACUCAACCAAUAGCUGGUGUGGGCGAUGUUUAUGCAACAAAUUAUGACAGCCAACAGCAACUAUAUCUUCCUGGACAUGAUUACUCAAUCUCUGAUGAUGAACUUGUAGGAAUUGAUAAAAAUAGAGACAUCUUGAUGGGGUCACUGAAUUUGGAAAAAUCUCUAGAUCUGCAAACCAUUGCCUUGUGGGGUAUGGGUGGUAUCGGGAAAAGCACUCUUGUCAAUAACGUGUUUAGAAAUGAAGCAUCCAACUUUGAAUGCCGUGUAUGGGUUUCCGUCUCUCAGUCCUAUAAGCUAGAUGAUAUUUGGAGAAUAAUGCUGAAAGAAAUCUAUUCUAAAGACCAGAAAGCAUUUGAUGGUGAGAAGCUGACUUGUGCAGAGCUACAAGAUGAAUUGAAGGAAACCCUGAAGACAAAGCGGUACUUGAUCAUAUUGGAUGAUGUCUGGACAGCUGAAGCUUUUAGAAAAAUUAAAGGGGUUCUCGUCGACACAAAGAUGGGAAGCAGAAUAAUAAUCACAACAAGAUCUGAUGAAGUAGCUUCACAAGCUGAUGAUGGAUACAAGAUCAAAGUUGAGCCUCUUGAGAAGGAGGAUGCAUGGCGUCUAUUUUGCAGGAAGGCGUUUCCGAGAACUGAAAAUCACAUCUGCCCAUUAGCAUUACGGAAAUGUGGUGAAUCCAUAGUGGAGAAGUGUGAUGGUUUACCAUUAGCCCUUGUGUCCAUAGGGAGCAUAUUAUCUCUUAAGGAGCAGAAUGAUACAGAGUGGGGACUAUUUGAAGCACAACUUAUUUCCGAGCUAAACAACAAUUCGGACCUGAAGCAUGUGGUGAAAAUUCUAAAUCUAAGCUACAAAUACUUGCCUGACGAUUUGAAGAGUUGUUUCUUGUAUUGUGCCAUGUUCCCAGAAGACCACAUGAUCCAUAGAAAAAGAUUGAUCAGACUGUGGGUUGCAGAAGGGUUUAUUAAACAAAAUGGAAAUUGCAGUUUAGAAGAUGUUGCUGAAGGUUACCUGAGAGAGCUCGUUCGACGAAGCAUGCUUCAUGUGGUAGAGAGGAACAGUUUUAACAGGAUCAAGUGUGUUCGAAUGCAUGAUCUUGUGCGGGAACUAGCCAUUUUCCAAUCCAAGAGAGAGAGUUUCGGUACAACUUAUGAUGAUAGUCAUGGGGUGAUGCAGGUGGAUUCUCGUCGCAUGUCGGUGCUCCAAUGCAAAAAUGACACUCAACCAAGCGUAGGUCAAUGCGGGCUUCGUACCUUCAUAGCAUUCAACACUAGUAUGGGAUCCUUUCCAUGGUUUAGCUCAGAAUCGAAGUACCUUGCUGUGUUGGAGCUAUCAGGAUUACCUAUUGAGACUGUUCCAAAUUCAAUUGGGGAGCUAUUCAACCUUAGGUAUUUGGGCCUCAACAAAACCAAGGUGAAGGUACUCCCGAAAUCUGUUGUGAACCUUCACAACUUAGAAACAUUGAGUCUUCGAGGUGCAGACUGUCUGUAUCUCCCACGAGGGUCUAAAAAGUUGAAGAGCUUGCGGCACAUUAUAAUGGGUAAAUUGCUGGACCAAAGUUGGUUGAGUUUCAAAAGUUUUGAAUGUAUGGAGCCUUUUAAUGGAUUGUGGAGUUUCAAGAACUUGCAAACUCUAGGUGCAGUUCGAGCUAGUAAAGCUUUCGUUGCAAAACUAGCAAGUUUAUCUCAGCUGAGGACCCUUAGCAUUAGUGGGGUAAGGGGCAUCCAUUGUGCACAAUUGUGUGACUCUCUGUCAAAGAUGCAUCAGCUCUCAGUGUUAGAAAUAAUAGCCAUCAAUGAAGAUGAGGUACUCCAGCUUGAAAUUUUAACUUUGUCAAACCGUCUUAGAAAGCUCUGUCUGUACGGCCGAUUUUCCGAAGGAACUUUUAAGUCUCCAUUUUUCUCAAGCAACGGAGAUGUCCUUCACAAAAUAUCUCUACGUUGGUCCCAGCUCUCAGAGAACCCAGUGCCGCGCCUCUCUGAGUUGUCAAACUUGACCGAAAUAGUUCUAAGCAAAGCGUAUACUGGACAGGAGAUAAACUUCCAGCCAGUGUGGUUCCCAAAUGUGAAGAUUCUUUUCUUGUUGAAUUUGCCACAUGUCAACCAAAUAUGCAUACACGAGGGAGCUUUGGUCCGCCUUGAAGAACUUGUGAUCAGUGACCUUGUUGUACUGCGGGACAUCCCUACCGGCCUGGAACAUCUGAAAUCCCUCCAGGAGGCGUUUUUUCGUCAUAUGCAUCCUGAUUUCGAUAGGAAUCUUCGAAGGGCAAUACCAGAGCAUAUCCCGAGAGUCUACUGCACCAUAAGACCCGGAGAGGCAUGA